AGUAUAGUCUCCUAAAUACACUAAGCCCUAUACAAGGGCUUUUU
RNAcentral lists this small RNA (44 nucleotides) under Streptococcus infantis SK1302. RNAcentral describes it as "Streptococcus sRNA SpF51". It matches the Rfam family "Streptococcus sRNA SpF51". The record is from Rfam by way of RNAcentral. Lineage: Bacteria; Bacillati; Bacillota; Bacilli; Lactobacillales; Streptococcaceae.